This is a long non-coding RNA of Drosophila mojavensis, 831 nucleotides long. RefSeq lists it as uncharacterized. The record is from RefSeq and is a predicted model, not a curated record. The transcript has 3 exons. NCBI's taxonomy places the organism in Eukaryota, Metazoa, Arthropoda, Insecta, Diptera, Drosophilidae.
UUUGUUGUGCUCAUAAUCAGUGUUGCCGUUUUGUCUUAUUUUCGGCCAGAUCUGGCUUUUUUUUAAGUGCAAUUGCGGAAAAAAUUUGGAAAAUCUGGCAUAUAUAUGAAUCGAAUCAGCUAAUAUAUAUUUUGUUUAAUAUCUGAUAUUAAUUACCGAUUAAUAGACAAACUAACAAGCUGGUAACUAUUAAAGGCUAACAUCACAAGUUCUGCAAUACUUUCAUCCCUACAGUUAGACAGAUUUUCUGUUGCGCUUCGCAUACAUUCGUUACCUUGGUGGAAUGCCGAAGUUGAAGGGAUGAACAUUGAUACGUUAACCAUAAGAGUUUUUCUAAACUGCCUCAAAUCGAUCGCAAUCAAGGAAUAUCUAAAUUAUGAUACCGAAGAGUCUGUAGACUAUCUAUUGCUAGAUUUAUCAUCAAUGAAAACAUUUAAAAUGUAUAAUGUUAAAAUUUCUAUUAUUUUGGUUUGGUUUCUUAAUGAAUAUGAAAUGUUUGUUACAAUAUUUGUACGUGUACCUAUCUAUUACAAUAUAAAAAAAAAAGAAACAAUUCUAAAAUAUUACCUUAUUUUUCAACUAAUUGUUUUUGGGAUUUAACUUAUUUUUACUUAUUUUUUGUCCUGAUUCAGUUAUUUUUUCUCGGGCAAAAACGGCAACACUGCUCAUAAUGGAUGCAAAUAACUAACGGAACAUGAAAAUUUAAUUGUAGAGUCACUCAAAAACUAUUUUAAACAUUCAUUUCAAAAUAAGAUAGCUUUUCUAUAUAUUUAACUUUUUAUACCAGAUUUAUUAUUAUUUUUACAAUACCUGGACUCCCCUCCAAAUUUA